GAUGAGCGCUGGCGGCGUGCCUAAUACAUGCAAGUAGAACGCUGAAGGAGGAGCUUGCUCUUCUGGAUGAGUUGCGAACGGGUGAGUAACGCGUAGGUAACCUGCCUGGUAGCGGGGGAUAACUAUUGGAAACGAUAGCUAAUACCGCAUGACAACAGUUAUUGCAUGAUAACUGUUUAAAAGGGGCAACUGCUCCACUACCAGAUGGACCUGCGUUGUAUUAGCUAGUUGGUGAGGUAACGGCUCACCAAGGCGACGAUACAUAGCCGACCUGAGAGGGGGAUCGGCCACACUGGGACUGAGACACGGCCCAGACUCCUACGGGAGGCAGCAGUAGGGAAUCUUCGGCAAUGGACGGAAGGCUGACCGAGCAACGCCGCGUGAGUGAAGAAGGUUUUCGGAUCGUAAAGCUCUGUUGUAAGAGAAGAACGAGUGUGAGAGUGGAAAGUUCACACUGUGACGGUAUCUUACCAGAAAGGGACGGCUAACUACGUG
This 495-nucleotide ribosomal RNA is filed under the name uncultured bacterium. RNAcentral's name for it is "partial 16S ribosomal RNA". It matches the Rfam family "Bacterial small subunit ribosomal RNA", at positions 28 to 507 of the family's 1533-position model. The record is from RNAcentral.